GAAUCUGCCCUCAGGAGGGGGAUAACGGUUGGAAACGACCGCUAAUACCCCAUAUGCCGAGAGGUGAAAUGAAAUUCGCCUGAGGAUGAGCUCGCGUCUGAUUAGCUAGUUGGUAAGGUAAUGGCUUACCAAGGCAUUGAUCAGUAGCUGGUCUGAGAGGAUGAUCAGCCACACUGGGACUGAGACACGGCCCAGACUCCUACGGGAGGCAGCAGUGGGGAAUUUUCCGCAAUGGGCGCAAGCCUGACGGAGCAACGCCGCGUGAGGGAUGAAGGCCUCUGGGCUGUAAACCUCUUUUAUCAAGGAAGAAGAACUGACGGUACCUGAUGAAUAAGCCACGGCUAAUUCCGUGCCAGCAGCCGCGGUAAUACGGUAGUGGCAAGCGUUAUCCGGAAUUAUUGGGCGUAAAGCGUCCGCAGGCGGUUUUACAAGUCUGUCGUUAAAGCGUGGAGCUCAACUCCAUUUCAGCGAUGGAAACUGUAAGACUCGAGUGUGGUAGGGGCAGAGGGAAUUCCCGGUGUAGCGGUGAAAUACGUAGAUAUCGGGAAGAACACCAGUGGCGAAAGCGCUCUGCUGGGCCAUAACUGACGCUCAUGGACGAAAGCCAGGGGAGCG
This 615-nucleotide ribosomal RNA is filed under the name uncultured Synechococcus sp. Its description in RNAcentral is "bacterial SSU rRNA". It matches the Rfam family "Bacterial small subunit ribosomal RNA", at positions 122 to 770 of the family's 1533-position model. The record is from RNAcentral. Lineage: Bacteria; Bacillati; Cyanobacteriota; Cyanophyceae; Synechococcales; Synechococcaceae.